AGAGUUUGAUCCUGGCUCAGAACGAACGCUGGCGGCAUGCCUAACACAUGCAAGUCGAACGAGACCUUCGGGUCUAGUGGCGCACGGGUGCGUAACGCGUGGGAAUCUGCCCUUGGGUUCGGAAUAACAGUUAGAAAUGACUGCUAAUACCGGAUGAUGACUUCGGUCCAAAGAUUUAUCGCCCAAGGAUGAGCCCGCGUAAGAUUAGGUAGUUGGUGGGGUAAAGGCCUACCAAGCCGACGAUCUUUAGCUGGUCUGAGAGGAUGAUCAGCCACACUGGGACUGAGACACGGCCCAGACUCCUACGGGAGGCAGCAGUGGGGAAUAUUGGACAAUGGGCGAAAGCCUGAUCCAGCAAUGCCGCGUGAGUGAUGAAAGGCCUUAGGGUCGUAAA
This 394-nucleotide ribosomal RNA is filed under the name uncultured bacterium. RNAcentral describes it as "bacterial SSU rRNA". It matches the Rfam family "Bacterial small subunit ribosomal RNA", at positions 8 to 429 of the family's 1533-position model. The record is from RNAcentral.